AACUUCCUUGUCUAGAACGUGCGUGGGCUAAAUAACCCCGCACGUCGUGCUGUUGUUCACUCUGUUAUUUCCAACAACAAUGUAUCUGUCCUCUGCUUGCAAGAGUCAAAGCUAGAUUUCGUUGAUUUGGGUGUUGUCCAGCAGUGUUGUGGGAGCCGGUUCUCUGAUUUUUUCUUCGCACCUGCAGUUGGUACUAGGGGAGGGUUGAUUCUGGCUUGG
This 219-nucleotide ribosomal RNA is filed under the name Triticum aestivum (bread wheat). RNAcentral's name for it is "partial small subunit ribosomal RNA". The record is from RNAcentral. Lineage: Eukaryota; Viridiplantae; Streptophyta; Magnoliopsida; Poales; Poaceae.